Molecule: ribosomal RNA, 497 nt
Filed under: uncultured bacterium
Lineage: Bacteria
Description: partial 16S ribosomal RNA
Rfam family: Bacterial small subunit ribosomal RNA
Source: RNAcentral
GACGAACGCUGGCGGCGUGCCUAAUACAUGCAAGUCGAACGCUGAAGAGAGGAGCUUGCUCUUCUUGGAUGAGUUGCGAACGGGUGAGUAACGCGUAGGUAACCUGCCUUGUAGCGGGGGAUAACUAUUGGAAACGAUAGCUAAUACCGCAUAACAAUGGAUGACACAUGUCAUUUAUAUGAAAGGGGCAAUUGCUCCACUACAAGAUGGACCUGCGUUGUAUUAGCUAGUAGGUGAGGUAAUGGCUCAUCUAGGCGACGAUACAUAGCCGACCUGAGAGGGUGAUCGGCCACACUGAGACGGGGACACAGCCCAGACUCCUUCGGGUGGCAGCCGUAGGGAAACUUCGGCAAUGGGAGCAACCCUGACCGAGCAACGCCGCGUCAGUGAAGAACGUUUUCGGAUCGUAAAGCUCUGUUUUAAGUUAAGAACGGGUUUGAGAGUGGAAAGUUCACUCUGUGACGGUAGCUGACCAGAAAGGGACGGCUAACUACGUG